Molecule: ribosomal RNA, 382 nt
Filed under: uncultured soil bacterium
Lineage: Bacteria
Description: bacterial SSU rRNA
Rfam family: Bacterial small subunit ribosomal RNA
Source: RNAcentral
AGGACGAACGCUGGCGGCGUGCUUAACACAUGCAAGUCAAGGGGGCCCAGCAAUGGGCAACCGGCGAACGGGUGCGUAACACGUGAGCAACCUACCGAAAUGUGGGGGAUAGCCGGCCUAACGGCCGAGUAAUACCGCAUACGCUCUCGAUGAGGCAUUUCAUUGAGAGGAAACCUACGGGACAUUUCGAGGGCUCGCGGCCUAUCAGCUAGUUGGCGAGGUAACGCUCACCAAGGCAACGACGGGUAGCUGGUCUGAGAGGAUGGCCAGCCACAUUGGGACUGAGAUACGGCCCAGACUCCUACGGGAGGCAGCAGUGGGGGAAUCUUAGCGCAAAGUGGCCUAAACGGCUGAACGUCAGCGGAACGCCGUCCGUGUAGGA